This 457-nucleotide ribosomal RNA is filed under the name uncultured bacterium. RNAcentral describes it as "bacterial SSU rRNA". It matches the Rfam family "Bacterial small subunit ribosomal RNA", at positions 28 to 495 of the family's 1533-position model. The record is from RNAcentral.
GACGAACGCUGGCGGCGUGCCUAACACAUGCAAGUCGAACGAGAUCCAUGGGAGCUUGCUCCCGGAAGAUCUAGUGGCGAACGGGUGAGUAACACGUGAGAAACCUGCCCUGGAGUGGGGAAUAACUCGGGGGAAACUCGAGCUAAUACCGCAUACCCUCGGAUGGUCGCAUGGCCGACCGAGGAAAGAUUUAUCGGCUCUAGGAGGGUCUCGCGGCCUAUCAGCUAGUUGGUGGGGUAACGGCCUACCAAGGCAACGACGGGUAGCUGGUUUGAGAGAACGAUCAGCCACACUGGGACUGAGACACGGCCCAGACUCCUACGGGAGGCAGCAGUGGGGAAUCUUGCGCAAUGGGCGAAAGCCUGACGCAGCAACGCCGCGUGCGGGAUGACGGCCUUCGUGGUUGUAAACCGACUUUCAGCAGGCGAAAUGACGGUACCUGUCAGAAGAAGACCCC